This 253-nucleotide ribosomal RNA is filed under the name uncultured bacterium. Its description in RNAcentral is "partial 16S ribosomal RNA". It matches the Rfam family "Bacterial small subunit ribosomal RNA", at positions 524 to 776 of the family's 1533-position model. The record is from RNAcentral.
UACGUAGGGACCGAGCGUUGUCCGGAAUCAUUGGGCGUAAAGAGCGUGUAGGCGGCUAUUUAAGUCCUGCGUGAAAUCCUGCGGCUCAACCGCAGACGGUCGUGGGAAACUGGAUGGCUAGAGUGCGGGAGAGGAGAGUGGAAUUCCCGGUGUAGCGGUGAAAUGCGCAGAUAUCGGGAAGAACACCCGUGGCGAAGGCGGCUCUCUGGAACGCAACUGACGCUGAGACGCGAAAGCUAGGGGAGCAAACAGG